This 208-nucleotide long non-coding RNA is filed under the name Solanum tuberosum (potato). Its description in RNAcentral is "long non-coding RNA (STUB_LNC005655)". The record is from RNAcentral. Lineage: Eukaryota; Viridiplantae; Streptophyta; Magnoliopsida; Solanales; Solanaceae.
GCAAGAAGAUAGAGAUAAGAGUAUGAUUGAUUACAAUAAAUUGGUUAACAUCCCAUGAUGUUCAAUAUUUGCUUAACAAAAAAACUUAGAUAACAUCCAAAGUAUUGCAAAAUAUUCAUAGCAAACUAAUAAUGAGUUAGUGCAUCUUCUAAACUUGUAUCUUCACUAAAGAAUGAACAAAAGUCUGGCAGAAAACUUAAAAUUUCAA